This is a long non-coding RNA of Rattus rattus (black rat), 580 nucleotides long. RefSeq lists it as uncharacterized. The transcript is spliced from 2 exons. NCBI's taxonomy places the organism in Eukaryota, Metazoa, Chordata, Mammalia, Rodentia, Muridae. The record is from RefSeq and is a predicted model, not a curated record.
UAGAAAUGUUUUAAGAUGAAAUGUAUUCCUAGCAUAGAGAGAGGAACACUGGAGGUGUCCAAUGCCCUGGUCUGCUGAGCCUUUUCUAAAGACAUAGAAACAAGUAAGAACCAUUCUGCACAGCAUCAGGCCGAGGUGGACGUUCCGAUCAGACUGGAAGGACAGGACAGAGGGACAUGACGAUGAGGCCAUGUUGAUGAGUGUCCCUUAUACUCUGGGUAUGGUGGAUUUCCAGAUGAAAUCUCAACAAGGAGCUCUUCUGACGUGAUCGUCGCAAACGUCGUCUUCCUGCAGAUGGUACACAGCUGGAGCCGGGUUGGAGGAUCUUUCCCCUACAUUCCAUUCCCUAGAGUAAGAGAUGGCCUGAGCGGCUGGUGGCCUGGCCUCUGUCAGGGGCCAAGACCCAGUGACUGAUGUCUGAACAAAGAAGGAGACUUCUCCGGCAACAGAAUCAGCCGAAAUAAACAUCGCCAGCACGGGUACCGUACACUGCGAGUUCAGUGGUGGCUAUAUAAUAAAUAUCUUCCCUCCAGUGCCCAAUACCACACGAUCGAAUAAAUAAGUGAAAAGUUACAAGCAA